UUAAAAUAAGAGUUUGAUCCUGGCUCAGGACGAACGCUGGCGGCGUGCUUAACACAUGCAAGUCGAACGGAGUUAAUUGGCUUCGGCUGAUUAACUUAGUGGCGGACGGGUGAGUAACACGUGAGCAACCUGCCCAUAACAGGGGAAUAGCAGUUGGAAACGACUGAUAAUACCGCAUAAGACCACGGAACCGC
Molecule: ribosomal RNA, 194 nt
Filed under: Clostridiales bacterium
Lineage: Bacteria; Bacillati; Bacillota; Clostridia; Eubacteriales
Description: partial 16S ribosomal RNA
Rfam family: Bacterial small subunit ribosomal RNA
Source: RNAcentral